GUUGCAGAGGGGGAAAAAGCGCCUUACUCCUUAGGCGUUUGGAGACAGCACUGCAGCGACUGCUUUCAACCCAGCUCCUAGCGCAGGCAGACCCAGCCUCGGCUCCUACAGCAACAAGAGAUUAACCCCUUCGCUGCCAACAUGGCCACCAACCCGCAGACAGCUUGCCUCUCUGGGCAGUGGUUCAUUAUCUCCCCCCCCAAAACCCCCACUCCCCUCAACACACCCCUGCCCAUCGAAUCCACCGCAGUUCAACCAGCAUAAUCAAAAGACAGCCAGAUAAAGUUGCAGUGAUUUACAGCACCCAGCACCGGUGAGGGGUACAUAGAGACCCACAGACGCACAUCUGUGGUGAGGCUCCUACCUCUUAUGGCAUGACUCCCAGCUGGGGAGGGGGGGUGGAAUCACAUCGUCUCUGCCGCCUGCAGACCUACUAGGCUCUCUCACUCAGACGCGUGAGCGGCUGUCCAUCAGUCACCAGGAGGCUGCCCAUCGUGGGGGGCUCCCAGGGGCAUUUCCAGUCAGAAGUGUUACCAUGGUUGCAGGCUGGGACGUCCGCAGUGGACCAGGCAGGGGGAAGUUGGCAAGCCGGCAUCACAUCCCCCGCAGUGCAGGCUGCAUGCUACCACCUCCCCACUCCUUAGUGCGUGCUCUGGCGGUAACCCCACCUGGCCACCCUGCGUGGCAGGGGCCAAUGCCGAUCUGAGUGACGGAGCCGCAUGAGUCACUGCCCGCCAGGGCUCGCUAGAGCUCCCCCUAGGACAGUUGUCACAGCCCUUCACGGUCCAGACUUCUUUUUUAACCUCUUGUUUUCCAGACAGAGUUCUGUGCUGGGGGUGGGGUGGGGGGUGAGCAGCAAGCACGCCUUCAGCCCCACAGACUCAGAAGGAGCUGGCUGUUGCCGAAGCAUCCCCGGGGACAACGGUCAAAGCAGUGCCAGGCAGAGAAGUAACCGGAGUGAUGUGGAGGGGUGCGGAGGAAGAGGGAGGUGAACGCGGAGGGGCGGCGGGUGCUUCUGGGAUAUGCAAAAGAACAGUCUCCGAGGUGCACCGAGGUGAGGUGGGGAAGAGAAGAUCAGGGAAUGUGAAAUGCGAGCUAACAGAGACUUAUCUAACACCUCCGGGCUCUCCGGGGAGCAGCUCAGCCUUCCCUGCUGGAGUCAGAAGCUCCGGGGCUUAACGCUUUCAACAUUAGCUUAUGGGAAGGGAACUGGGACUGGAUGCAGGGGUUCGCAUCCCCUGUGCACACCCAUAAGCGGGGGGUUGGGGGGGGUUGGGGUGCAAAUCUAAUGGUGGUGCAAACCCCAUCUGACUGCCCGUGCUCACCCAAUCCCUCCUUUGGAAGAUUAAAAUUGAAAUCACAGAAAUUACAAUGUAUGAUGACCAAAAGGAAGUGCUUCCAUCCCAAGAUAAGGACAUCGAGAUAAACAUACUGAAAUACGUAGGUGACUCUGAUACAGAAACAUGGUGGCUUAAUGGCUCCCAAUUCCACCCACUCCAGUUCUAUGACCCUGGGAAAGGCACUCAGCCUCUGUAGGCAUCUGUGGGGAGGUCAUGUCUGGCUUUGAAAGAGUGUCCCUAAGCAGUGAAGGCUGGCCUCAAACUUGUGAUUCUCCUGCCUCUGCACCUGACUGUUAGGUGAAUCUAUGCAAAGUGCUCAGUGUGGCUUCUGGCACUCGGUGAACACCCAUGAAGGUGACCUGUGGCCGUUAUCAUUGCUGGCGUACAGUGCAUGAUGUGGCAGACCUUAGCAGCCGCUCAAGUCCAGUGAGACAGCGCGGCAUCUGCGCUGAGUAGAGUCGGUCUCUGCUAUACAAGGCACAGGCACGCCAAGGAGAGGAGGAUGAGGCUGGAGGGCGCUCGGUGGGUAGAAAUGCUUGCCGCGCAAACCUAACAACCCGCACUCAGAUUCCAUGGACA
This is a long non-coding RNA of Mus musculus (house mouse), 1919 nucleotides long. RefSeq annotates it as predicted gene, 42008. Lineage: Eukaryota; Metazoa; Chordata; Mammalia; Rodentia; Muridae. The record is from RefSeq and is a predicted model, not a curated record. The transcript is spliced from 3 exons.